This 516-nucleotide ribosomal RNA is filed under the name uncultured bacterium. Its description in RNAcentral is "bacterial SSU rRNA". It matches the Rfam family "Bacterial small subunit ribosomal RNA", at positions 8 to 518 of the family's 1533-position model. The record is from RNAcentral.
AGAGUUUGAUUCUGGCUCAGGAUGAACGCUGGCGGUGUGCCUAAUACAUGCAAGUCGAUCGGGCGUAGCAAUACGUCAGAGGCGUACGGGUGAGUAACACGUAGGUAACCUACCUUUAAGACUGGGAUACCCAGACGAAAGUUUGGCUAAUACCGGAUAACAACAUUUGAGACAUCUCUUUUGUUUGAAAGGCGCUGCAAGGCGCCACUUUUAGAUGGACCUGCGUCGCAUUAGCUAGUUGGUGAGAUAAAAGCCCACCAAGGCUGGGAUGCGUAGCCGAUCUGAGAGGAUGACCGGCCACAAUGGGACUGAGACACGGCCCAUACUCCUACGGGAGGCAGCAGUAGGGAGUUUUCGGCAAUGGGGGAAACCCUGACCGAGCAACACCGCGUGAGUGAUGAAAGGUCUUCGGAUCGUAAGGCUCUGUUACGAGGGACGAAUGAUCGCUUUAGGAAAUGAGAGCGGUUUGACGGUACCUCGCCAGAAAGCGACGGCUAACUACGUGCCAGCAGCAGC